RNAcentral lists this ribosomal RNA (230 nucleotides) under uncultured bacterium. RNAcentral describes it as "partial 16S ribosomal RNA". It matches the Rfam family "Bacterial small subunit ribosomal RNA", at positions 562 to 791 of the family's 1533-position model. The record is from RNAcentral.
AAAGCGCGCGUAGGUGGUUGUUAAGUUAGGAUGUGAAAGCCCCGGGCUCAACCUGGGAACUGCAUCCAAAACUGGCAAGCUAGAGUAUGGUAGAGGGUGGUGGAAUUUCCUGUGUAGCGGUGAAAUGCGUAGAUAUAGGAAGGAACACCAGUGGCGAAGGCGACCACCUGGACUGAUACUGACACUGAGGUGCGAAAGCGUGGGGAGCAAACAGGAUUAGAUACCCUUGU